Thalassophryne amazonica is the source of this 222-nucleotide long non-coding RNA. RefSeq lists it as uncharacterized. The record is from RefSeq and is a predicted model, not a curated record. The transcript is spliced from 3 exons. Lineage: Eukaryota; Metazoa; Chordata; Actinopteri; Batrachoidiformes; Batrachoididae.
AGAGAAGUAUGUGAGGGUAGUGCAGGAUAUGUAAGAGGAUAGUGUGACCAGUGAGAUGUGCAGUAGGAAUGACAAAUUUAUUCAAGGUGAAGCUGGGAUUACACCAAGGAUGAGCUCGGAGUCCUUUCUUGCUCGCAAUGGUGAUGGACAGGUUGACAAAUGAGAUCAGACAAGCGUCUUCAUGGACUAUGAUGUUUGCAGAUGAGAAUGUAUACUUACAGU